AGUACGGGAGGCAGCAGUGGAGAAUAUUGCACAAUGGGCGCAAGCCUGAUGCAGCCAUGCCGCGUGUAUGAAGAAGGCCUUCGGGUUGUAAAGUACUUUCAGCGGGGAGGAAGGUGUUGUGGUUAAUAACCACAGCAAUUGACGUUACCCGCAGAAGAAGCACCGGCUAACUCUGUGCCAGCAGCCGCGGUAAU
Molecule: ribosomal RNA, 194 nt
Filed under: uncultured Enterobacteriaceae bacterium
Lineage: Bacteria; Pseudomonadati; Pseudomonadota; Gammaproteobacteria; Enterobacterales; Enterobacteriaceae
Description: partial 16S ribosomal RNA
Rfam family: Bacterial small subunit ribosomal RNA
Source: RNAcentral